Molecule: ribosomal RNA, 303 nt
Filed under: Triticum aestivum (bread wheat)
Lineage: Eukaryota; Viridiplantae; Streptophyta; Magnoliopsida; Poales; Poaceae
Description: partial small subunit ribosomal RNA
Source: RNAcentral
AUGAGAGGAGGACAGCCACAGCAGCAAGCGGCGUGCUGUCCCAGCCAGCUGUCGUACAUAGCCGAGUCGAUUUUGCGUUGCCUUACCUCCUGUUGUUUGGUUUUCCGCUUUUGCUCACUUCUCCUUCCAAUGUUGGUGCAGGAUCGUUCGUUGUUCGGCUGGCUGCUGAGGUUUGCCAACGACGUCAGUUUGUUAUUUUCUCCUGAAGGUUCUUUGUUGAUUCGUUGGACGUGUGUGAUGCUGACCAACAAGUGGCGUUCAAGUACGACAAGACCAUAUUAUGACAGGAGCAUAAAGGCAUAA